RNAcentral lists this ribosomal RNA (431 nucleotides) under uncultured bacterium. RNAcentral describes it as "partial 16S ribosomal RNA". It matches the Rfam family "Bacterial small subunit ribosomal RNA", at positions 29 to 507 of the family's 1533-position model. The record is from RNAcentral.
AACGAACGCUGGCGGCAUGCCUAACACAUGCAAGUCGAACGAGACCUUCGGGUCUAGUGGCGCACGGGUGCGUAACGCGUGGGAACCUGCCCUUAGGUUCGGAAUAACUCCCCGAAAGGGGUGCUAAUACCGGAUAAUGUCUUCGGACCAAAGAUUUAUCGCCUUUGGAUGGGCCCGCGUUGGAUUAGCUAGUUGGUAGGGUAAAAGCCUACCAAGGCGACGAUCCAUAGCUGGUCUGAGGAUGAUCAGCCACACUGGGACUGAGACACGGCCCAGACUCCUACGGGAGGCAGCAGUGGGGAAUAUUGGACAAUGGGCGAAAGCCUGAUCCAGCAAUGCCGCGUGAGUGAUGAAGGCCUUAGGGUUGUAAAGCUCUUUUACCCGGGAUGAUAAUGACAGUACCGGGAGAAUAAGCGCCGGCUAACUCCGUG